ACGGAGGGUGCAAGCGUUAUCCGGAUUUACUGGGUUUAAAGGGUGCGUAGGUGGGUCUGUAAGUCAGUGGUGAAAUCUUCAAGCUUAACUUGGAAACUGCCAUUGAUACUAUAGGUCUUGAAUUAUCUGGAGGCGAGCGGAAUAUGUCAUGUAGCGGUGAAAUGCUUAGAUAUGACAUAGAACACCAAUUGCGAAGGCAGCUCACUACGGAUUUAUUGACACUGAGGCACGAAAGCGUGGGGAUCAAACAGGAUUAGAUACCCUGGUAGUCCACGCCCUAAACGAUGGAUACUCGACAUACGCGAUAUACUGUGUGUGUCUGAGCGAAAGCAUUAAGUAUCCCACCUGGGAAGUACGAUCGCAAGAUUG
RNAcentral lists this ribosomal RNA (369 nucleotides) under uncultured bacterium. Its description in RNAcentral is "bacterial SSU rRNA". It matches the Rfam family "Bacterial small subunit ribosomal RNA", at positions 525 to 896 of the family's 1533-position model. The record is from RNAcentral.